AUUGAACGCUGGCGGCAGGCCUAACACAUGCAAGUCGAGCGGAUGAAGGGAGCUUGCUCCUGGAUCCAGCGGCGGACGGGUGAGUAAUGCCUAGGAAUCUGCCUGGUAGUGGGGGAUAACGUCUGGAAACGGGCGCUAAUACCGCAUACGACCUGAGGGUGAAAGUGGGGGAUCUUCGGACCUCACGCUAUCAGAUGAGCCUAGGUCGGAUUAGCUAGUUGGUGGGGUAAAGGCCUACCAAGGCGACGAUCCGUAACUGGUCUGAGAGGAUGAUCAGUCACACGGGAACUGGGACACGGUCCAGACUCCUACGGGAGGCAGCAGUGGGGAAUAUUGGACAAUGGGCGAAAGCCUGAUCCAGCCAUGCCGCGUGUGUGAAGAAGGUCUUCGGAUUGUAAAGCACUUUAAGUUGGGAUGAAGGGCAGUAAGUUAAUACCUUGCUGUUUUGACGUUACCAACAGAAUAAGCACCGGCUAACUUCGUG
RNAcentral lists this ribosomal RNA (484 nucleotides) under uncultured bacterium. RNAcentral's name for it is "partial 16S ribosomal RNA". It matches the Rfam family "Bacterial small subunit ribosomal RNA", at positions 30 to 507 of the family's 1533-position model. The record is from RNAcentral.